Molecule: long non-coding RNA, 1806 nt
Organism: Homo sapiens (human)
Lineage: Eukaryota; Metazoa; Chordata; Mammalia; Primates; Hominidae
Gene: RRP7BP
Product: ribosomal RNA processing 7 homolog B, pseudogene
Source: Ensembl
GCGCUCCCGGGUGGCAAGAUGGUGGCGCGCAGGACGAAGCUCGCGGCGCGGGACCCGGAGGACGGUAUCCCGAGCCCACCGUGCUACGCAGCUAUUCCAAUCAAGUUCUCUGAAAAGCAACAGGCUUCUCACUACCUCUAUGUGAGAGCACACGGCAUUCAACAAGGCACCAAGUCCACCUGGCCUCAGAAGAGGACUCUUUUUGUCUUCAAUGUGCCCCCAUACUGCACAGAGCAGGAGAGCCUGUCCUGCCUCCAGUCCACCUGUGGCCUUGUCCAGUCUGUAGAGUUGAAGGAGAAGCUGGAGCUGGCUGGGAGUCAAGGUCGAAGUUUUUUCAUCCAAAGCCAGUUCCGGGUUUCCAGGUAGCCUACGUGGUGUUCCAGAAGCCAAGUGGGGUGUCAGCGGCCUUGGCCCUGAAGGGCCCCCUGCUGGUGUCCACAGAGAGCCACCCUGUGAAGAGUGGCAUUCACAAAUGGAUCAGUGACUACGCAGACUCUGUGCCCGACCCUGAGGCCCUGAGGGUGGAAGUGGACACGUUCAUGGAGGCAUAUGACCAGAAGAUCGCUGAGGAAGAAGCUAAGGCCAAGGAGGAGGAGGGGGUCCCUGACGAGGAGGGCUGGGUGAAGGUGACCCGCCGGGGCCGGCGGCCUGUGCUCCCCCGGACUGAGGCAGCCAGCUUGCGGGUGCUGGAGAGGGAGAGACGGAAGCGCAGCCAAAAAGAGCUGCUCAACUACGCCUGGCAGCAUCGAGAGAGCAAGAUGGAGCAUCUAGCGCAGCUGCGCAAGAAGUUUGAGGAGGACAAGCAGAGGAUCGAGCUGCUGCGGGCCCAGCGCAAAUUCCGACCCUACUGAGCCGUGAGAGCCGCAGUGGAUGGCUGGAGGUGCAGGGCCAGGAGGAACAUGAGUCUCCACCGUUUACACCAACUUCCUGGUAUAAGGACUGUCACUGUGACAGGAGGAGGCACUUUCUGUCCCAGGUACCUUCUCCUUCCUCCUUUGUGCUCCCCUCCCCACUCCACCCAAGGGAGCCCCAGUUGGCCAGACAAAGCCAUCUACUCACCAUUCCGCCCACGACGCCACCUGGGGGACAAAAGAGCUGUGGGUGACAUUCCCUCACUCCCUCCCCAGCUGCAUACCCUAAAGCUUCUUCCCACCAGUUGGGGGGGGGGGGCACCAUAUGGGUGGCUGGGGGCUCAGCAUCUGGGCCAUGAUGUCCCCUUCAUCAGACCUGACCACUCAAAAGACCACAUUUCCCUCAUCCCUGUGUCCCUUGCGGCAGUUGCCUGAGGUCAGAGGGUACAGUGGUCAACCUCUGACUGACCCUCUCAUCUCUCUUUGCAGAUCUCAUAAGUGCAGGGGAAAGGGGUGGGGCAGCAGCUCCUAUCCUUCCCUCCCAGCCCUACUCCGGGCCCGGUCAGCUCCUGGCCACUGUACUCACCGAAGCUGUGGCCCAGAAUGGAGAAUCGAUUCCAUUUCAAGGCUGGAAAUGCAAGGAGCCAGAAGGUCCGGCUGGGCACAGGCUCAGCCCACGAUCUUGCUUCUAGUCCCCAGGCUCAGGAAAUCCCUUCCCAGCAUCUGGGGUGUCCACCCAGGACACUAGCUUGGGGGACCCACUGGAGGAAGCGAACUCUUCAACUUUCCCAAGAUCUCCCGUGAAUUGCUGGCAGACCUGGGGCCAGAGCCCAGGCCCCACUCUCAGGCCAGCGCUGCUUCCUGGAUCCUACCCCGCCUCCAGUGAUAAGAGGGGGUGCCCUAGAGCACCCCCCACACCGCCGAAAAUACACACUCUGUUUCUUACCUGCCACAA